This 72-nucleotide transfer RNA is filed under the name Bacteriophage sp. RNAcentral's name for it is "tRNA-Cys". It matches the Rfam family "tRNA". Rfam says of the family: Transfer RNA (tRNA) molecules are approximately 80 nucleotides in length. Their secondary structure includes four short double-helical elements and three loops (D, anti-codon, and T loops). The record is from RNAcentral.
GGGCAAUUAGUCGAGUGGUUAGGCGGCUGUCUGCAAAACAGUUCUACGCUGGUUCGAUUCCAGCAUUGCCCU